UACGUAGGGUGCGAGCGUUUAAUCGGAAUUACUGGGCGUAAAGUGUGCGCAGGCGGCCGCGCAAGUCGAGUGUGAAAUCCCCGAGCUUAACUUGGGAAUUGCGCUCGAAACUACGUGGCUGGAGUGAGAUAGGGGUGUGUGGAACUUCCGGUGGAGCGGUGAAAUGUGUUGAUAUCGGAAGGAACGCCGGUGGCGAAAGCGACACACUGGGUCUCAACUGACGCUGAGGCACGAAAGCCAGGGGAGCGAACGGG
RNAcentral lists this ribosomal RNA (254 nucleotides) under uncultured bacterium. RNAcentral's name for it is "partial 16S ribosomal RNA". It matches the Rfam family "Bacterial small subunit ribosomal RNA", at positions 524 to 776 of the family's 1533-position model. The record is from RNAcentral.